CGGCAGACGGGUGAGUAACGCGUGGGAACAUACCUUUUGGUUCGGAACAACACAGGGAGACUUGUGCUAAUACCGGAUAAGCCCUUACGGGGAAAGAUUUAUCGCCGAAAGAUUGGCCCGCGUCUGAUUAGCUAGUUGGUGAGGUAACGGCUCACCAAGGCGACGAUCAGUAGCUGGUCUGAGAGGAUGAUCAGCCACAUUGGGACUGAGACACGGUCCAG
RNAcentral lists this ribosomal RNA (221 nucleotides) under uncultured bacterium. RNAcentral describes it as "partial 16S ribosomal RNA". It matches the Rfam family "Bacterial small subunit ribosomal RNA", at positions 96 to 334 of the family's 1533-position model. The record is from RNAcentral.